This 119-nucleotide ribosomal RNA is filed under the name Salmo salar (Atlantic salmon). Lineage: Eukaryota; Metazoa; Chordata; Actinopteri; Salmoniformes; Salmonidae. The record is from RNAcentral.
GCUUACGGCCAUAUCAGCCUGGGUACGCCCGAUCUCAUCUGAUCUCGGAAGCUAAGCAGGGUCCGGCCUGGUUAGUAUUUGGAUGGGAGACCGCCUGGGAAUACCAGGUGCUGUAAGCA